AGCCCUACAAUUAAAAAGAAUUGAUCACAUAUUUUACAAGUUGAGAGGAGAAUGCUGGUAGGAUUACCACGGCUCCUCACAGACAGGUUCCUUGGACUGCGCAAGUAAAGCAACAAGAAAACCACAGCUAUAUAAAUACUAAAGCUAAUAUGUAUUAAAAAAAUGGGACAAAUUUGCACCUAAUUUAGAGGGCUGAGUUAUCAUGAAUGGAAUAAAAUAUUAUGGUUUGCAGAUAA
This is a long non-coding RNA of Gopherus flavomarginatus (Mexican gopher tortoise), 236 nucleotides long. RefSeq lists it as uncharacterized. The record is from RefSeq and is a predicted model, not a curated record. The transcript is spliced from 2 exons. Lineage: Eukaryota; Metazoa; Chordata; Testudines; Testudinidae.